UAACCAAAAAAACAAUAUUCUUUAGCAAACAUGAAUAAAGUUUUAUUCAUUCUACAUGGGUAAAUAUGCAAGAUAUAACAUGUAACUACAUCAGUUAAGGAGCUUUCAAAGUUUUGACAAAGCAUGGCUAGCAGUGAUUGUGUUCAGCUAGGGGUCACUCUCGACUGGAUACAGUGAUAUUUAUGUUCUCAUAAAUCCUGUCUAACUGUGUGGUGCUUCACAGCCAUAAAGAAUACUUCCACUGUGAUAUUUUUUAAUAAGCCUGUAGCCUGUCUAACAUCAGUGUAACACUAUCACACAGGAUGUCUAUUAAUAGUUCCCUGUACAGCAGUGGUAAUCAAAGUUUUCUUGUUUGGAUUUAGAGACUUGUCAACUGACUGGCCCCAAACAUUUGACACAUUCGACACAAGUACCUCAGGCAUAAACAAGUACCUCAGUAUAAUGACCUGCGUCGGUCAACAUACCUUUGUCCUUCCCCCUUUAUUAACUUCAAGGACUGGAUGGACACUAAACUCACACUCUGGAGGCAGCUCUUUCACAGAGGGCUCACGUUUUUGUGUCAAGGUUCCUCUCACAGUUGGACCCAUCCACUGCCUAUAUGCUGAAGGUGUUUGAGAAGAGAUUGGGGCAGCAGGGAAAGAAGCUGAAAGACAUGUCUGCCAUGGUGACGGAUGACAUUGAUGCUGGAUGGGAAUGUGACAUCAAAGGACUCUGCAUCUACCUCAACGAGGAUCCUUAUCAUCUUGUUACAGGAGUAUGUGGAAAUGUCUGAGACCCAUUUCUUCAGUGCUGUGGAGAUGACUGCGGGAGGAUCUUUGUUGUGAAAGACACUGUCAACAGCGAGCCCUCUGCAUCGGAAUAGUCAUUGAGGGUGGUGUGGUGGCACUUUGAGAUCUUGAGAAUGUAGCCACUGCGUCUGCAAUGUUGUUUGGACUCUUUCAUGCUUUAAACAUGCAAUACCCUACAAAGCUCCGCUACCCUUUUGACGUAAUUCAAAAGAUCAUCGUGGAGCUAGAUGCAGGGGAACUGUCAAGAAAGCUUGAAAACUAAGCUCCACCAGUGAAGAGAGCUAAUUGUUCUUGGCUCUUGGUUGGAUUAGGACAUGACUGUUGGCAAACUAAUAGUCUCUACCUCUACAUGCUUGGACUGAGUGGUGUUGCAGCCUGAUUUUGCUAUCACCAAUUAAGUGUUAUUCAAGAUGUACAGUUUUGAUUACUGUACAGUACCAGGCACAUUUAAAUUUAACCAUUGCAUUUUAAUGUGCUAAUAUAUAAUGCAUUGUUCAAAAACCUUGAGCUUCCCAUAGGACAUUUAAUGUGUAUUUUUAUUUAUUUUUAUUGAUGCAGAUGUAUUUUGGAAAAGCUCUGGCAUUUUUGGCCAAACUAAGCUACAUCUAGAAAGAGAGCUCAUUACAGGUGCUGGUCAUAUAAUUAGAAUAUCAUCAAAAAGUUGAUUUAUUUCAGUAAUUCCAU
Molecule: long non-coding RNA, 1472 nt
Organism: Micropterus salmoides (largemouth bass)
Lineage: Eukaryota; Metazoa; Chordata; Actinopteri; Centrarchiformes; Centrarchidae
Exons: 5
Source: RefSeq, a predicted model, not a curated record